This is a non-coding RNA of Acanthosepion pharaonis, 109 nucleotides long. The record is from the annotation of a GenBank genome assembly. Lineage: Eukaryota; Metazoa; Mollusca; Cephalopoda; Sepiida; Sepiidae.
UUACGGCCAUAUCCCGUUGAAACACCAGUUUCUGUAGGCUCACAGAAGUUAAGCAAUAUCGAGCCUAAUCAGUACGUAGAUGCGUGACCGCUUGGGAAUAUCAGAUGCU